Long non-coding RNA from Acinonyx jubatus (cheetah), 702 nucleotides. RefSeq lists it as uncharacterized. The transcript is spliced from 3 exons. NCBI's taxonomy places the organism in Eukaryota, Metazoa, Chordata, Mammalia, Carnivora, Felidae. The record is from RefSeq and is a predicted model, not a curated record.
CCGGUGGCAACAACGGGCCAGCGCGGUUGGGUUUCCUGGUCAGGGAACCGAAUGUUACGAAACCUGCUCUGGAUCACCCGGCGGAAGAACCAAGCAGCACUUGGGCAUCUUGGAAGGCAGGAGGUUUAUUUCACAUCGGUGGGUUCAGAGGAGAUUGUUCUCCAGAGGUCUGAGCCCGGAGCCCCGGAGCGCAAGCAUGGGGGACAAUUUAUAGUCUGUUACUUCCGCAUUAGUAGUAAUUUGGCGCGCAUGCGCAACAAGCAAGGUAGGAAGAAGAACCCGGAAGGGGAGUCUUCGGAUGGGGACUGGAAUUUCCCUACCAGUCCUGUCGGCCACUUCAUCAUUUUUCCCUACCAGACUGACUAGAAGACAGAGGCCACUGACAGAGAUUCUAAACCAGGGGCUGCAAACUCAGUACACCUAGGAUUUGUUUGGCUAGCAGAAUAUUUUUUAAAAAUGGAACCAGCAUUUACAAAUCGUGUGAUUUCUGAAAAUCCAGAUUUGGGUCUUCGCUGAGACACUGGAAGAUUUGACAGCAGUGGACCCACAGCAGCGAUUGGUUAGAGUGGGGCAGUCUCAGUGUGAAAAGUCUGAUUUGUGUAUGCCAGGUCUCAAGACGCUUGCCUGCAGAUGAGCUCUUUCAACUGUGCCAGUCUGUCACUUCUUAGUGCUUCCCGGAUGGAGUGGAAAAAACCAAAAUAG